UACAGAGGGGGCAAGCGUUGUCCGGAUUGACUGGGCGUAAAGCGCACGUAGGUGGUGGGGCAAGACGCGUGUGAAAGCCCACGGCUUAACCGUGGCAGGCCAUGCGUGACUGCUCGACUCGAGCUUGGCAGAGGUGGGUGGAAUUGCCGGUGUAGUGGUGAAAUGCGUAGAGAUCGGCAGGAACACCAAGGGGGAACCCAGCCCACUGGGCCAGUGCUGACACUGAGGUGCGACAGCGUGGGGAGCGAACAGG
RNAcentral lists this ribosomal RNA (253 nucleotides) under uncultured bacterium. RNAcentral's name for it is "partial 16S ribosomal RNA". It matches the Rfam family "Bacterial small subunit ribosomal RNA", at positions 524 to 776 of the family's 1533-position model. The record is from RNAcentral.